RNAcentral lists this transfer RNA (70 nucleotides) under Dipodomys ordii (Ord's kangaroo rat). It matches the Rfam family "tRNA". Rfam says of the family: Transfer RNA (tRNA) molecules are approximately 80 nucleotides in length. Their secondary structure includes four short double-helical elements and three loops (D, anti-codon, and T loops). The record is from Rfam by way of RNAcentral. Lineage: Eukaryota; Metazoa; Chordata; Mammalia; Rodentia; Heteromyidae.
GGGAAUGUGGCUUAGUGGUAGAGUGCCUGCCUAACAUGCAUGAAGGCCUGAGUUUCAUUCCUCAGCACCA